AUGCUUUUCCUCUUGGGCUGGGGAGAAUGCCCUCUCCCUGUUGCUCCUGGAACCUCUGGGUGCCGGAGCUCUGACCCAAUAAUGCUGGGAGUGCUGGUGGUGCUGCCCCCCAGCAGGGUGCCCAGGAUGAUUGUGUCCUUAUGGAUGGCAUACAUUGCGGCUCGGAAAGGCACUGGUGUGCAUACAGCCACUGAUGAAAACCCAGAUGGCCCUGCUGUGGAGUUUGAUGCAUUUUCCAUGGGCGAAGAGCAGGUCUCCUGGUUGUUCAGGAGGAUGCUGGAAACGUGGACGGGGCUGUGGGGAGGGCAGAGGGCAGAACCCCAGGCAGAGCCUCAGGAAGAUCAGCAAGCAGAGCUUCAGGCACAGCGCACAGCAGCUCCUCCAGCCUCCCCACAUCUCAGCAGUCCAAGCUCCCAGGAUGAUGCUAACGUGGAGGCACCAACAUCCGAGCAGGUGGUCCUGAAGGACAGAGUCCACAUCUUCACAUGGAGCAAGGCCUGUUGUGUGCAUCACAUCUCGAGCAUGCUGGAGAACGAGGAGACAGAGAACAGGCUGGAGCAAACAGAAAACGACAUGCCCCAGCAGCUGCUCCAGGACAUGCCGGACCAAACGAUGGAUGCAGCGGAUGCUGCAGCAAGAGCCAUGACGCACAUCAUGACAGACACUAACAUCCAGUUCAACUUCCCCAGCAAGAAGUAGGAGGUCUCUGUUCUCCUCCCCUUUCCCAGCUGUGUCUGAAGCUGUUUCCACCUCUCCAGAACCGAUCUGCCCCAGGAAAUAAAAGGUUUCAUGCACCAGCGGGGUGAUGUGUG
Molecule: long non-coding RNA, 812 nt
Filed under: Phasianus colchicus (ring-necked pheasant)
Lineage: Eukaryota; Metazoa; Chordata; Aves; Galliformes; Phasianidae
Description: lncRNA (ENSPCLG00000009767.1)
Source: RNAcentral